This is a long non-coding RNA of Rhea pennata, 1485 nucleotides long. RefSeq lists it as uncharacterized. The transcript is spliced from 2 exons. The record is from RefSeq and is a predicted model, not a curated record. NCBI's taxonomy places the organism in Eukaryota, Metazoa, Chordata, Aves, Rheiformes, Rheidae.
UUUUUUUUCCAAUAAAGGCCUUUUUUGCCGAGUGAAUUUUACCAUAAUCUCUGCAAUCUCAAUCUUGGCAAAAGGAACAAGGAAUAGCAUAUGUCUUCCCAUCACCUGUAUCCCCUCAAAGCAGAACUUGCCUGAAGGGCUGCUCCAGAUUCUGGCUCCCAUCCCAACUGUGCAAAAUCUAUAGAGACUGUGCCCACCACAAGGGUUUUCUGCCUUUCUUCCCAGGGAUUCCUCUGUUUCUGGUGACAUUGCUGACUUAGUCUGGCUGUAACCCCUUGUACUUGACCAAAGGUCAAAAAUCUUUGUGUGGCUAAGGCAGUAUCCAGGAUUCGGAGCCCUCUGGGAUUGAGUGUCAGCUUCCUUUAGCAUCAGCAGGUCUUAGCCCACUUCUGCCCAGUGUUCUUCUCAGAGUAUCCAGAGCAGGGUUUUAUUUUUUCCUUCUCAAAUUCUAUUUUAUGUAACUACAGCAAGCCUUUGUCAUAACGCUGAUUGGAGGCAGCAAGGGUUAUGUCACACCACCUGAUACAGGGAGGCACAUUGUAAAAGAAAGUUUCUAAAGAGCACUUCUUCAUGCUCUCUCUGGCUGAGGCUGCGGUUAGGGUGUGAAUGCAGCCAGUAGCUCGAGGGUGAGGAAAUGCUGUGGCUGCAUUUUAGAGAGAUCUGUGCUGGGGACAGUUUGAAAUUUAAUCCAUUUGGGAACACUCUCGGAACACAGAGUAAGCUGUAAUGGCGAAUAAGGGCUUGAUACUGGCAGCCGCAGAUUAAUUAUUUGCUUUGGGAAAUCUUGGCUGUUGGAGUUAGCAACAAACAUGGAGUAUCCAGCUGUCGGACAUAUCUCACUCCUAACAGGUUUUAUGAGGAGGUUUGCUGUAAUUGCCCUCUAGGACCAGAUAAAUUUUAGGGGUUCUUUCACCAAAGUCAACAGAGGUGAAUUUGGCUUGCAAUGCAAAUCUGUUUGCAUGAUUGUAGAAUUCCAUUCUUGCGUCAGAAAUGUGUUUGUCCAUGUUGGUCCUCUACUUCCAGUGGGGUGCACUCAGCUGUGAACCUACUUCUUGCCCUGGAGCAUCAUUCCAGAGAGAAAAAGUACUUCUGGCUGUAUGAGGGGAACUGUUGGUUGGUUCUGCUCUUACAAGGGCAGUGUUAAUCCUUUUUGUAUCAUAGAGUGCAAUUAUUUUAUUCCUCCUUUCCCCUUCCCACAUAACAUCCGUUGCUGGCAAUGGACACGUGAAAACUCUGGCGUCAAGGAGUUAAUCAAAUCUGCCCUGGGGUAUGCAAUGUCUUCUGAAGCACCCAGAAUACUUAGGAGGAGUGCCCAGAGUCUGGUGAGACACCAAGGGUCUCACUGGCCGCUCAGCAAGGGCAAAGGAGUUGGACUGAAUUAAAACGAAAAAAACGCACAAAGGCCUAACAUUUGUACAUGUAUCUUCCUCAGUAGAUUAAAGUUGCCUGUUUUGAGUUCACCAGCAAUAAAAAAAUUGUGAUUUA